UCAGCUACAAAAUAAAAAAUUCCAAAAUCAGAGAAAACAACUAUAAAAUGGAGUAAAAUGCAGCUACAAAAACACCAUUUUCCCCCAAUUCAUGACGGAGGCUUUGAUUAGUGACGGCGGAGGAAAGACGAGGCCACGUCAGACGCCAAUCGUGACAAUUGAUGCCGUGAAAGUUGUCGAAAAAGGCAGUGGUGGAAAUCCAUACAGAAAAAGCACAAACUUUAAUACCUAAAAAUUAAAAUACAAGGGUUUGUACAAAACAAAUCAAUGCAUCAGACAAGCAAAAGAAGAUUUAUACAUAAGAACAUAGCAAAACUAAACAACUAUAACUUUAAACUUCAAAUCCGAGGGAAUAAUCUUACUAGAGAACGGAAGGGCCGAAAAACACCAUUCACCAAGCAAAAAAUAGAUUCCAAUAUUAAUUUAAUAUUCUUCAAAUUGCAAUAGGUCCAUUUCACAUCACGAACUUCCACAUUAAAUAAACAUAUCUAUUUAUCAAAGUACGAACACCGCAAAACUUCUGUUUUUCUUUUUAAUCAAAAUAAAUGUUAAUUAUCGUUGGAGUUCAGAUUUACUGCAAACUAAAAAAUAAUUAGAGAUCUUACAGCGGGUCUGAGAACGAAGCGAACUAAGCGAGAAUCGACUCCAUAACGGCUAUUGUUCUUUAAUUUCUUCACGGUGCCGGAGAUUUGAGAACGACUCCUUCGUCGUUGUUGAGAUGUGGCGCCACCUUCGUCCUCCGUUUAGCCGCCGCCUCCACCGCCAUUACCGGGAUUCCAAGAUCGAGAAAGAAGAGAAGU
Molecule: long non-coding RNA, 800 nt
Filed under: Erythranthe guttata (spotted monkey flower)
Lineage: Eukaryota; Viridiplantae; Streptophyta; Magnoliopsida; Lamiales; Phrymaceae
Description: long non-coding RNA (EGUT_LNC002436)
Source: RNAcentral